Molecule: ribosomal RNA, 465 nt
Filed under: Vreelandella stevensii
Lineage: Bacteria; Pseudomonadati; Pseudomonadota; Gammaproteobacteria; Oceanospirillales; Halomonadaceae
Description: partial 16S ribosomal RNA
Rfam family: Bacterial small subunit ribosomal RNA
Source: RNAcentral
CCUACGGGCGGCAGCAGUGGGGAAUAUUGGACAAUGGGCGAAAGCCUGAUCCAGCCAUGCCGCGUGUGUGAAGAAGGCCUUCGGGUUGUAAAGCACUUUCAGUGGGGAAGAAAGCCUUGGGGCCAAUACCCUCGAGGAAGGACAUCACCCACAGAAGAAGCACCGGCUAACUCCGUGCCAGCAGCCGCGGUAAUACGGAGGGUGCGAGCGUUAAUCGGAAUUACUGGGCGUAAAGCGCGCGUAGGCGGUCUGAUAAGCCGGUUGUGAAAGCCCCGGGCUCAACCUGGGAACGGCAUCCGGAACUGUCAGGCUAGAGUGCAGGAGAGGAAGGUAGAAUUCCCGGUGUAGCGGUGAAAUGCGUAGAGAUCGGGAGGAAUACCAGUGGCGAAGGCGGCCUUCUGGACUGACACUGACGCUGAGGUGCGAAAGCGUGGGUAGCAAACAGGAUUAGAUACCCGUGUAGUC